Molecule: ribosomal RNA, 253 nt
Filed under: uncultured bacterium
Lineage: Bacteria
Description: partial 16S ribosomal RNA
Rfam family: Bacterial small subunit ribosomal RNA
Source: RNAcentral
UACGGAGGGUGCAAGCGUUAUCCGGAUUCACUGGGUUUAAAGGGUGCGUAGGCGGGUAAGUAAGUCCGUGGUGAAAUCUCUGAGCUUAACUCAGAAACUGCCGUGGAUACUAUUUGCCUUGAAUAUUGUGGAGGUGAGCGGAAUAUGUCAUGUAGCGGUGAAAUGCUUAGAUAUGACAUAGAACACCAAUUGCGAAGGCAGCUCAUUACACAAUCAUUGACGCUGAGACGCGAAAGCGUGGGGAGCAAACAGG